GUCAGUUUCACCAGCGUUGCCCGUUCGCCGAUACACAUACCGCCGUCGGCUCUUCUACUCGGCCAUCUCUGGUUAAAUCCUCUCUCUAAUAUUCCUCGUGUCUCCCCCUCCAAUCUUCCUUCUAAAUCUGCAGAUGGAGAGAAGCAGAACUGGGGUUUCUUUUACGGCGACAUCGUCGUCUAAGAGAUCGUUCGAAGAGUCACCAGUUACGACGUCAACGAGUUGGUUGUCGAAAGCCUCGCUAGCAAAUUAGACAACUGUGAUGAUCCUACAGACCUGUAAUGAUUCUGCGGACAUGAUAGCAGACACAAUGCCUGAAGAGCAUCUAAGGGACUGAGUAUUUUUAUUCUAUGCUAUCGUUUUCGUUAGGAGUCUGAUGACUGCCAUUUACUAGUUUCAUCAGCGAUUUUUUUUCUUCUGGAUCAUUCUUUUACUUGCUUCGAUGGACUGGUUUCGUACUGAUCAACUAUUAGCCAUUUGACUUUUACCUAAUUGAACAUUACCGAUUAAGUAGUGGGUAAAUUAUGGUAAAUGAUCAUCUAACAAAUACACUGAUAUCAAGAGGUAAUUAUGAUCAAUAUUUAUUAGUCUCAUUUUUUUUUGAUAAUGGGCACAAGUGUUGUAGUGUUUGAUGGCUCCUGUUGUUGAUGAUAGAAUUACGUUUUGAGUGACCAGCCAAAGUUUUUUAGUUGUUUACAUUUUGAUGUGCUAAACAUGAAUAACAUUGGAGGAAAGCAGCUAGUGAAAUGUGACAUCGUCUUUCGCGAUUGUUUUUUUUUGUGUUUGUGUAAUUUAAGUGCCUUUGGGCUUCAUCACUUUAAUCAAGACCUUUAUAUUGCUUGUCUAUUUAGAGGUCUGUUGUGUUUGAAGCGAGAAAAAAUGGCUGCCUCGCUAUCCGCUGCAAACUCUUCUGUUUUGCAUUUGGACGUUGGUGAGCUACAUUAUUGAAUGAUCGUAUUUGCUUUGUCCCUCGAUGCAAAUUUUAUAUAUGUUAUUCUUGCAAUUUUAGGUAUUUGCUACGUUUGUUGUUUUCUCCCAACUUUGAGCCUAAGCUACGACGAUAGUGAACUCUCUGAGCAGUUGACAUACAUCAUGAAACGUGGUUGGGAGGGACGCGCUGAGAACCAAAGAUGUGGUGUAUUGGCAAAUUCAUCAUCAAUCUCUAUAUUACCCUUGCUUACCUCCCGACAACUCAUCAUAUUAUAAUAUAAUGCAAACCAGAAACAAAACUAAGCCAUUAUUAUUAUCUCUUAA
Long non-coding RNA from Musa acuminata subsp. malaccensis (wild Malaysian banana), 1254 nucleotides. RefSeq lists it as uncharacterized. Lineage: Eukaryota; Viridiplantae; Streptophyta; Magnoliopsida; Zingiberales; Musaceae. The record is from RefSeq and is a predicted model, not a curated record.